Molecule: ribosomal RNA, 60 nt
Filed under: uncultured Marssonina
Lineage: Eukaryota; Fungi; Ascomycota; Leotiomycetes; Helotiales; Dermateaceae
Description: partial 28S ribosomal RNA
Source: RNAcentral
CACACCGGUUGACCUCGGAUCAGGUAGGGAUACCCGCUGAACUUAAGCAUAUCAAUAAGC